Molecule: ribosomal RNA, 1570 nt
Filed under: Leptopelis vermiculatus (vermiculated tree frog)
Lineage: Eukaryota; Metazoa; Chordata; Amphibia; Anura; Arthroleptidae
Description: 16S ribosomal RNA
Rfam family: Bacterial large subunit ribosomal RNA
Source: RNAcentral
GCCCUAAAUUUAGCUUCCAAUAUUCUAAUGUAAACCAAUCCCCUAAUAAACACAAAUAAAACAUUUUAACAGUUUAGUAAGUGUGACUAAAAAACUAUCCUAAAGCUAUAAAUUAAGUACCGCAAGGGAAUAAUGAAAUAGAAAUUAAAUAAAACUAAAGCAUAAAAAAGCAGAGAUAAGCCCUCGUACCUUUUGCAUCAUGGUCUAGUAAGAAUAAUCAAGCAAAUAUUUAUAUAGUUUGAACUCCCGAAACUAGACGAGCUACUUAAAAACAGCCUAAUGGGCGAACCCUUCUCUGUUGCAAAAGAGUGGGAAGAUUUUUAAGUAGGGGUGAUAUACCUAUCGAGCCUAGAGAUAGCUGGUUAUUCAAGAAAAGAAUAUAAGUUCUGCCUUAAGUAAUAUUAUGUAUAAAUCACAAAACAACACUUAAGAGUUAUUCAAGUAAGGUACAGCCUACUUGACCCAGGAUACAACCAAAACUAUUGGGUAAUACUUUGUACCUACACCAAAGUGGGCCUAAAAGCAGCCAUCUUCUAAAAAGCGUCACAGCUUAACUUCAACACUAAUUAAUACCAAAAAAUAUUUAAACCCCAUUACCAGUAUUGAAUAAUUUUAUAUAAAUAUAAAAAAUACAAUGCUAGAACUAGUAAUAAGAAAUAUGUAUUUCUCCUAAAUGCAAGCACAAAUCAGCAAGAACUACUCCCUGACAAAUACUGUAAAUGUAAAGUAACAACUUAACCAUGAAAACCCUACUUCACUAAACAUUAACCUAACACAAGAGCAUUUAAGGAAAGAUUUAACCAGGGAGAAGGAACUCGGCAAAUUUUAGUCUCGCCUGUUUACCAAAAACAUCGCCUCUUGAUCAUUAUAAGAGGUCCAGCCUGCCCAGUGACCAGUUUAACGGCCGCGGUACCCUAACCGUGCGAAGGUAGCAUAAUCACUUGUUUCUUAAAUGGGGACUAGUAUCAACGGCAUCACGAAGACUACACUGUCUCCCCCCUAAAAUCAAUGAAACUAAUCUCCUCGUGAAGAAGCGAGGAUACAAAUAUAAGACGAGAAGACCCCAUGGAGCUUUAAACAAACCCCAACUGCUCCCUCCCUAAUCAUAGAAAUUGAGCAUUAAUGACGGGUAGUUUUCGGUUGGGGUGACCGCGGAGUAAAACAAAACCUCCACAAUGAAUGUAAUAAAAUACUAAUAAAAGAACCACAAUUCUAAUAAUCAAAAAAUUGACAUAUUUGACCCAAACACUUGAUCAAUGAACCAAGUUACCCUGGGGAUAACAGCGCAAUCCAUUUUAAGAGCCCCUAUCGACAAAUGGGUUUACGACCUCGAUGUUGGAUCAGGGUAUCCUAGUGGUGCAGCCGCUACUAACGGUUCGUUUGUUCAACGAUUAAAACCCUACGUGAUCUGAGUUCAGACCGGAGCAAUCCAGGUCGGUUUCUAUCUAUAAAAUACUCUUUCUAGUACGAAAGGACCGAAAGAAUGUGGCCUACAACUCAUGCCAUAACCUCAUAUUAAUGACUAAUACUCAACUAUACAGGGCUUACCACUCAAUCAUAGAAAAUGAUA